This 460-nucleotide ribosomal RNA is filed under the name uncultured bacterium. RNAcentral describes it as "partial 16S ribosomal RNA". It matches the Rfam family "Bacterial small subunit ribosomal RNA", at positions 338 to 795 of the family's 1533-position model. The record is from RNAcentral.
CCUACGGGUGGCAGCAGUGAGGAAUAUUGGCCAAUGGACGAGAGUCUGAACCAGCCAAGUAGCGUGAAGGAUGACUGCCCUAUGGGUUGUAAACUUCUUUUAUAUGGGAAUAAAAUGUUCCACGUGUGGGAUUUUGUAUGUACCAUAUGAAUAAGGAUCGGCUAACUCCGUGUCAUCAGCCGCGGUAAUACGGAGGAUCCGAGCGUUAUCCGGCUUUAUUGGGUUUAAAGGGAGCGUAGGUGGAUUGUUAAGUCAGUUGUGAAAGUUUGCGGCUCAACCGUAAAAUUGCAGUUGAAACUGGCAGUCUUGAGUACAGUAGAGGUGGGCGGAAUUCGUGGUGUAGCGGUGAAAUGCUUAGAUAUCACGAAGAACUCCGAUUGCGAAGGCAGUUCACUGGACUGCAACUGACACUGAGGCUCGAAAGUGUGGGUAUCAAACAGGAUUAGAUACCCCUGUAGUC